This 440-nucleotide ribosomal RNA is filed under the name uncultured bacterium. RNAcentral's name for it is "partial 16S ribosomal RNA". It matches the Rfam family "Bacterial small subunit ribosomal RNA", at positions 338 to 795 of the family's 1533-position model. The record is from RNAcentral.
CCUACGGGUGGCAGCAGUGGGGAAUAUUGCACAAUGGUGGAAACCCUGAUGCAGCGACGCCGCGUGAGUGAUGAAGUAAUUCGGUAUGUAAAGCUCUAUCAGCAGGGAAGCAAAUGACGGUACCUGAGUACGAAGCACCGGCUAACUACGUGCCAGCAGCCGCGGUAAUACGGAGGGGGCCAGCGUUAUCCGGAUUUACUGGGUGUAAAGGGAGCGUAGACGGCAGUGCAAGGCUGGAGUGAAAGGUGGGGGCUCAACCCACGGACUGCUCUGGAAACUGUACGGCUGGAGUGAAGGAGAGGUAAGUGGAAUUCCUAGUGUAGCGGUGAAAUGCGUAGAUAUUAGGAGGAACACCAGUGGCGAAGGCGGCUUACUGGACUGUAACUGACGUUGAGGCUCGAAAGCGUGGGGAGCAAACAGGAUUAGAUACCCCUGUAGUC